AGUGAACGCUGGCGGCAGGCCUAACACAUGCAAGUCGAACGGCAGCACAGUAAGAGCUUGCUCUUACGGGUGGCGAGUGGCGGACGGGUGAGGAAUACAUCGGAAUCUACUUUUUCGUGGGGGAUAACGUAGGGAAACUUACGCUAAUAUCGCAUCCGACCUACGGGUGAAAGCAGGGGAUCUUUGGACCUUGCGCGAUUGAAUGAGCCGAUGUCGGAUUAGUUAGUUGGCGGGGUAAAGGCCCACCAAGGCGACGAUCCGUAGCUGGGCUGAGAGGAUGAGCAGCCACACUGGAACUGAGACACGGUCCAGACUCCUACGGGAGGCAGCAGUGGGGAAUAUUGGACAAUGGGCGCAAGCCUGAUCCAGCCAUGCCGCGUGGGUGAAGAAGGCCUUCGGGUUGUAAAGCCCUUUUGUUGGGAAAGAAAAGCAGCAGGUUAAUACCGCGGUGUUCUGACGGUACCCGAAGAAUAAGCACCGGCUAACUUCGUG
Molecule: ribosomal RNA, 492 nt
Filed under: uncultured bacterium
Lineage: Bacteria
Description: partial 16S ribosomal RNA
Rfam family: Bacterial small subunit ribosomal RNA
Source: RNAcentral